RNAcentral lists this ribosomal RNA (433 nucleotides) under uncultured bacterium. Its description in RNAcentral is "partial 16S ribosomal RNA". It matches the Rfam family "Bacterial small subunit ribosomal RNA", at positions 29 to 507 of the family's 1533-position model. The record is from RNAcentral.
AGCGAACGCUGGCGGCAGGCCUAACACAUGCAAGUCGAACGGAUCCUUCGGGAUUAGUGGCGGACGGGUGAGUAACACGUGGGAACGUGCCCUUUGGUUCGGAACAACUCAGGGAAACUUGAGCUAAUACCGGAUGUGCCCUUCGGGGGAAAGAUUUAUCGCCGUUGGAGCGGCCCGCGUCUGAUUAGCUAGUUGGUGAGGUAACGGCCCACCAAGGCGACGAUCAGUAGCUGGUCUGAGAGGAUGAUAAGCCACACUGGGACUGGGAAACGGCCCAGACUCCUACGGGAGGCAGCAGUGGGGAAUCUUGCGAAAUGGGCGAAAGCCUGACGCAGCCAUGCCGCGUGAAUGAUGAAGGUCUUAGGAUUGUAAAAUUCUUUCAGCGGGGAAGAUAAUGACGGUACCCGCAGAAGAAGCUCCGGCUAACUUCGUG